RNAcentral lists this small RNA (27 nucleotides) under Bombyx mori (domestic silkworm). RNAcentral's name for it is "ovarian small RNA-30322". Lineage: Eukaryota; Metazoa; Arthropoda; Insecta; Lepidoptera; Bombycidae. The record is from RNAcentral.
UGAAAACGGCAGAUGGCUGGGGAUUGG